GUAAUACGUAGGGUGCGAGCGUUAAUCGGAAUUACUGGGCGUAAAGGGUGCGUAGGCGGCCCGGCAAGUCAGUGGUGAAAGCCCGCAGCUCAACUGCGGAAUUGCCAUUGAAACUGCCAGGCUUGAAUCUGGUUGAAGUGGGCGGAAUAUAUCAUGUAGCGGUGAAAUGCUUAGAUAUGAUGUAGAACACCGAUUGCGAAGGCAGCUCACUAAGCCAACAUUGACGCUGAGGCACGAAAGCGUGGGGAGCGAAC
Molecule: ribosomal RNA, 254 nt
Filed under: uncultured bacterium
Lineage: Bacteria
Description: partial 16S ribosomal RNA
Rfam family: Bacterial small subunit ribosomal RNA
Source: RNAcentral